GGAGAGUCUUCAGAGGAAAGCUGUCUUGGAGUGGAAUUCGAACAUUCAGAUCAUGCCCCACAAGGAAAAUGUUUCUGGGCACACAUCCUCAACCUAGAGAGAGAUCACAAGUA
This is a long non-coding RNA of Lontra canadensis (Northern American river otter), 113 nucleotides long. RefSeq lists it as uncharacterized. The transcript is spliced from 3 exons. Lineage: Eukaryota; Metazoa; Chordata; Mammalia; Carnivora; Mustelidae. The record is from RefSeq and is a predicted model, not a curated record.